This 446-nucleotide ribosomal RNA is filed under the name uncultured bacterium. RNAcentral's name for it is "partial 16S ribosomal RNA". It matches the Rfam family "Bacterial small subunit ribosomal RNA", at positions 338 to 795 of the family's 1533-position model. The record is from RNAcentral.
CCUACGGGGAGCAGCAGUCGAGAAUCAUUCACAAUGGGGGAAACCCUGAUGGUGCGACGCCGCGUGGGGGAAUGAAGGUCUUCGUAUUGUAAACCCCUGUCAUGUGGGAGCAAAUUAAAAAGAUAGUACCACAAGAGGAAGAGACGGCUAACUCUGUGCCAGCAGCCGCGGUAAUACAGAGGUCUCAAGCGUUGUUCGGAAUCACUGGGCGUAAAGCGUGCGUAGGCUGUUUCGUCAGUCGUGGGUGAAAGGCGCGGGCUCAACCCGCGGACGGCACAUGAUACUGCGAGACUAGAGUGAUGGAGGAGGAACCGGAAUUCUCGGUGUAGCAGUGAAAUGCGUAGAUAUCGAGAGGAACACUCGUGGCGAAGGCGGGUUCCUGGACAUUAACUGACGCUGAGGCACGAAGGCGAGGGGAGCGAAAGGGAUUAGAUACCCGAGUAGUC